Molecule: long non-coding RNA, 763 nt
Organism: Oreochromis aureus
Lineage: Eukaryota; Metazoa; Chordata; Actinopteri; Cichliformes; Cichlidae
Source: Ensembl
UUUUUUUUCCUCAGUUAAAUACAACCCAUUGCUGUGAUUUUAUCUAACCUGCUCUCAGAAGGGUUGUAGUGGUGUGGCCCUCCACAGAGCUAUCAUUGUUAAAGGACUGAAGAGGACACACAGACAACAUAAACAGAAGUGAACCAUGUUCUCUGGGACUCUUGUGGUGAUAUUGCUGGUCCUCCUCCUGUGUAGACGGGUUUUAUGGCAAGGAUUAUGCAUUUAUAUUUUUCACAAAUUAUUCAAGAAAUCUGCGCAAACUAGAGAAACUGAAGCAGGAAAAACCCUGAAAAAGUGAUAUGUAAUGGUAUACCUUAAAAAUUAUGAGGCCAUUCUACAUAUGCAAUAAUAUGAGUUAUCUAAAUAACAGUGCUGAGAUGGGAAGGGCAUGUAGUACCCACAAGCUGCAUGCACACCUGGAUCGAGAAUCUUUGUUCAUCUUAAAAUUAUCAAUUUGUUUUGUUUUUUUUUAGGAAUAAAAUGAUUAAAGAAAAGCUGUUUUUUUAUGAUUUUUAUAUACACAUUGCUAUGUGCUCAUUAAGGAGUUGGCCCUCCAUGUAAUAAGGGUCAAAGGCUUCGAUUCAGUGCUAAUUCAGUGCAGAGGGUUUUGCAAACAGGCUUACGUAUCAUAACUGGUUAAAGUCAGGAUAAUAUUUUCUGGGCCAAGGGAGUCAGAACAGAAUGUCCCAAACUUGAAUAAUAAUCAGAAAAGAAGAUUAAUUAAUAAGCAAGGCUAGAUGAGGGAGGUGUUUUUUGCAGUCUU